AUGCUCACUUCAGCAGCACAUAUAUUAAAAUUGGAACAACACAGAGAUUAGCAAGGCCUCUGUGCAAGGAUGACAUGUAAACUUGUGAAGCAUUCCAUAUUUUA
Saimiri boliviensis boliviensis (Bolivian squirrel monkey) is the source of this 104-nucleotide small nuclear RNA. NCBI's taxonomy places the organism in Eukaryota, Metazoa, Chordata, Mammalia, Primates, Cebidae. The record is from Ensembl.